UUGAGUCAAAUUUAUAGAUUACGUACUAAACAUAAAUUGAAUUAAAUUCAUAGAUAAAACAGCUAAAUUUUUUUUUUACUACUUAUAACUUAUAUUCAUAAGAUCAAACAACCAUUUGAUAACUCAUAGAUCAAACAUUUAAAAAGCAAACCUUAAACCCUAAAUACUAAAUACAAAACGGAAAAAUAUAGAGCUAAAAACGAAACAUAAGAAAUUGCAGGGAGUGGUUUUUAGAAUUUCCAUCUUUGCAGCCAAACACACACAAUUAGGCUUCAAGAAUCUUUGAUUAUGAAAAGACUAUGACAAAACAAGAUCCAUUAAUUAUACAAGUUGAUGAGAGUAGGAAUGGAACUAAAAUGCGUAGAGAUGGUGUGAUUAUGACAAGAUUGGUAGUGUUUACUU
This 402-nucleotide small RNA is filed under the name Arabidopsis thaliana (thale cress). RNAcentral's name for it is "ATSL289670". The record is from RNAcentral. Lineage: Eukaryota; Viridiplantae; Streptophyta; Magnoliopsida; Brassicales; Brassicaceae.